Molecule: long non-coding RNA, 1075 nt
Organism: Nomascus leucogenys (northern white-cheeked gibbon)
Lineage: Eukaryota; Metazoa; Chordata; Mammalia; Primates; Hylobatidae
Exons: 2
Source: RefSeq, a predicted model, not a curated record
UAUGCCCAGGUUCUUCUGAGCUAUGAAGGGGCCCAGACUUAAGGGCUGUUCUUGACACCCUAAAUGUGCUGGGACAAGUCAUUAAGGUGGUCCUGCCAGGACACAGCCAUCUAAAGCAGCAAUCUGCUUCCUGCCAGAAAAUCUCGUGCCUCUGCAGAGCCUUUUCCAGAAUGAACCACACCAUGCUGAGGAAAGGAGAAAGAGACCGCCUACUGCAUUUCUGUCACUUGCUGAAAAGGACACUCUGUCAGAGAAUCUUCUAGCAAACUUCAAAGGGCAAAAUCACCCCUUGUUACAGAUAAAGCACAGAGAGCUUCAGCAGCUAGCAUUCCCUGGACAGGGCACAGCAAGGAUUUGAACCUAGGCCAGUCUGGCCAGAACACCCACAAGCUUUCCUUAACUCAGUGUGCUAUCUCCCCACGACUAGGUCACUACUGCUUUAUAAUCCCCUUUGUAGCCACCAGUGGAUUUUGCUCAUCAGUAUUUUUCAGGUAAUUGAUACUUUAGAUGUUCAUCUGCAAGACGUAUGCAGUUUUCAUUGACAUCUUUUGGAGAAACUGACAAACCUGGACUUGACUUAAUGCUUUUGGAACCUUCCAAGAUGUUAUAUAACUCUAGAUAGAAGGCUGAGCCUCCACGAUGUCAGGAAUAUUGCAUUCUUAUUUCCCCAUAGAUAAACCCAUUUGUCCACAAAGUCAAGGAGUCGGGCAGAGGCCCUUGCCAUGGGACUUUUUAGGAUAGAGUAACAAGCUUGGACUUUGCUCUAUGACAGGGUUUUGCAUAGGGAGUGGUAUGAUCAGAUCCCUCAAGACAGAAAGCUUAGGGACCAGGCCAGAGUCCACUGCAGUAGCCCAGUCAAGAGAGGAUGGUGACUUGGGCUUUAGUAGAGCCAGUUAGAAUGAAAGAAUUUGACACAUUCAGAAAUGGUUUUAGAGGUAGAGUCAAACUGGACCUGAUACAGAACUAGAGAAGUGGAGUGAGGAUAAAGAGAAGAGCCAUGACUGACUCGGAAGAUUUUGUCUUGAAAAACUUGAGAACUCAAGACAGAGUGAAAUAAAACCACAUGUGGGAAAAA